This 451-nucleotide ribosomal RNA is filed under the name uncultured bacterium. RNAcentral's name for it is "bacterial SSU rRNA". It matches the Rfam family "Bacterial small subunit ribosomal RNA", at positions 28 to 494 of the family's 1533-position model. The record is from RNAcentral.
GACGAACGCUGGCGGCGUGCUUAACACAUGCAAGUCGAACGAGGUCCACUGCGUAGCAAUACAAGGGAAGACCUAGUGGCGAAACGGGUGCGUAACACGUGAGGAACUUGUCCCGGUCUCUGGGAUAACAGUUGGAAACGACUGCUAAUACCGGAUGACGUCGGAAUCUCGCAUGGGAUACUGACGAAAGGGUUACUGGAUCGGGAGAGCCUCGCGGCCUAUCAGCUUGUUGGUGAGGUAACGGCUCACCAAGGCAUCGACGGUAGCUGGUCUGAGAGGAUGAUCAGCCACACUGGGACUGAGACACGGCCCAGACUCCUACGGAGGCAGCAGUGGGAAUCUUGCGCAAUGGGCGAAAGCCUGACGCAGCAACGCCGCGUGCGGGAAGAAGGCCUCGGUGUAAACCGCUUCAGUAGGAACGAAAAUGACGGUACCUGGCAGAAGAAAGGUG